Molecule: unclassified non-coding RNA, 202 nt
Filed under: Hevea brasiliensis (rubber tree)
Lineage: Eukaryota; Viridiplantae; Streptophyta; Magnoliopsida; Malpighiales; Euphorbiaceae
Source: RNAcentral
UCCUCCUACGUACACAGAUUUAGGCUCCUCAGAUUGAGGCACUUGAGGAAUGUCUGAAAUGAGGGGUUCAGCAAUCGAUACUAGUUCUUCGUGAUCAACCCCAGAAGCCGCAAGUACCAUUCUUGGGGCAAUGUAAUUUGUAGCAACAAACUCCUCCAAAAUGGUAGCAUUCAGCCUGUUUAUCGCAGAUUCUGGAGCCAUG